GAUGAAGAACGCAGCGAAAUGCGAUAAGUAGUGUGAAUUGCAGAAUUCAGUGAAUCAUCGAAUGUUUGAACGCACAUUGCGCCCUUUGGUAUUCCAAAGGGCAUGCCUGUUCGAGCGUCAUUUGUACCCUCAAGCCUUGCUUGGUGUUGGGCGUCUUGUCUCUAGCUUUGCUGGAGACUCGCCUUAAAGUAAUUGGCAGCCGGCCUACUGGUUUCGGAGCGCAGCACAAGUCGCACUCUCUAUCAGCAAAGGUCUAGCAUCCAUUAAGCCUUUUUUUUCAACUUUUGACCUCGGAUCAGGUAGGGAUACCCGCUGAACUUAAGCAUAUCAAUAAGCGGAGGA
RNAcentral lists this unclassified non-coding RNA (342 nucleotides) under soil metagenome. RNAcentral's name for it is "partial contains 5.8S ribosomal RNA, internal transcribed spacer 2, and large subunit ribosomal RNA". The stretch from base 1 to 120 matches the Rfam family "5.8S ribosomal RNA", at positions 35 to 154 of the family's 154-position model. The record is from RNAcentral.